Molecule: long non-coding RNA, 518 nt
Organism: Homo sapiens (human)
Lineage: Eukaryota; Metazoa; Chordata; Mammalia; Primates; Hominidae
Gene: TTTY8
Product: testis expressed transcript, Y-linked 8
Source: Ensembl
GCCUGUCUUUUCUGUGGGAUACACAGGACAGUGCCAUGAUUCUAGUAGAUGGUAGAUGUGAGCCAGCCCGAAGGAACAUCAAGGAGAGUUCCAGGAAUGAACCGUGAAAUCCCUAAGGAUCCAAAAGGAUAUGCAGAAAGAAGAGCAGCACGUCAUACCCAAGACCAACAUCUCUCAGUGUUUCACGCUAACCCAAGGAGAGACACUAGCAGUCUUCUCUGCAGGACCCCUUGAAUUUACAUUGAAUUCCAUCCCCAGCCGAGCAGGUGCUUAAAGUCAACAGGGGACACUCCAUUUUCUUGGAAUUUCAUUCUGGCAAAGAGGGUGUGAGCAGCAAUAAGGUGCUUCACAUCAUGAAGGGAUAUUUUUCCAUCAUCUUGGGAUUUCAUUCUGGGACAUAGAGUAUGAGCCACAAUAAGGUCAGAGAGGAGUGAGGAUACAAUCUUGUGAGGGGUGAACUGGGUCCAGCAACUUUGCCUGCAAAAAUAAAUAAAUUAAUUAAUUAAUUAGUAAAUGAA